GCGGGUGUGGUGUAUGGUUCACCGCUGUCUCGGAUAAUAAGUUUUCCAUCCAUUAGAAUGAAACAGCAGGUCCGGGUUCGAGUCCCGGCACCCGCA
Molecule: non-coding RNA, 96 nt
Organism: Mycena haematopus
Lineage: Eukaryota; Fungi; Basidiomycota; Agaricomycetes; Agaricales; Mycenaceae
Source: the annotation of a GenBank genome assembly